AUGAACGCUGGCGGCGUGCUUCACACAUGCCAGUCGCACGCAACACCUUAUUUGAUUUUCUUCGGAACUGAAGAUUUGGUGAUUGAGUGGCGGACGGGUGAGUAACGCGUGGGUAACCUGCCCUGUACAGGGGGAUAACAGUCAGAAAUGACUGCUAAUACCGCAUAAGACCACAGCACCGCAUGGUGCAGGGGUAAAAACUCCGGUGGUACAGGAUGGACCCGCGUCUGAUUAGCUGGUUGGUGAGGUAACGGCUCACCAAGGCGACGAUCAGUAGCCGGCUUGAGAGAGUGAACGGCCACAUUGGGACUGAGACACGGCCCAAACUCCUACGGGAGGCAGCAGUGGGGAAUAUUGCACAAUGGGGGAAACCCUGAUGCAGCGACGCCGCGUGAGUGAAGAAGUAUUUCGGUAUGUAAAGCUCUAUCAGCAGGGAAGAAAAUGACGGUACCUGACGAAGAAGCCCCGGCUAACUACGUG
This 480-nucleotide ribosomal RNA is filed under the name uncultured bacterium. RNAcentral's name for it is "partial 16S ribosomal RNA". It matches the Rfam family "Bacterial small subunit ribosomal RNA", at positions 29 to 507 of the family's 1533-position model. The record is from RNAcentral.